CUUCAGAUCCAUACCAAGAACAUGAAGCUGGCAGAUGAUGUGGACCUGGAACAGGUAGCCAAUGAGACUCACGGGCAUGUGGGUGCUGACUUAGCAGCCCUGUGCUCAGAGGCUGCUCUGCAAGCCAUCCGCAAGAAGAUGGAUCUCAUUGACCUAGAGGAUGAGACCAUUGAUGCCGAGGUCAUGAACUCCCUAGCAGUUACUAUGGAUGACUUCCGGUGGGCCUUGAGCCAGAGUAACCCAUCAGCACUGCGGGAAACCGUGGUAGAAGUGCCACAGGUAACCUGGGAAGACAUCGGGGGCCUAGAGGAUGUCAAACGUGAGCUACAGGAGCUGGUCCAGGUAGGGCAACUUCGUCCAGGGUGAGUCACUGCCUCUGUACAUUGUAAUCGACCUGGGUGAUCUCAGGGUGUCAACACAUUUGCUGCAAGAAUUGUGAGAGCACGACUUAGGAACCUACUGUUCUUAGGUUUAAGGCACUAAGGAGUCUUCUUCUAGAGAACCUGGAUCUGAUACCAUUGGGUACACCAUGAAAUAAUGGAGGGGAUGCUUCUGUUUAGUUAGGUUUCUUUCAAAAUGUGGAGGUAGCCUUGAACCCUCUUUCCUUUUCCUCCUAGUAUCCUGUGGAGCACCCAGACAAAUUCCUGAAGUUUGGCAUGACACCCUCCAAGGGAGUUCUGUUCUAUGGACCUCCUGGCUGUGGGAAAACUUUGUUGGCCAAAGCCAUUGCUAAUGAAUGCCAGGCCAACUUCAUCUCCAUCAAGGGUCCUGAGCUUCUCACCAUGUGGUUUGGGGAGUCUGAGGCCAAUGUCAGAGAAAUCUUUGACAAGGCCCGCCAAGCUGCCCCCUGUGUGCUAUUCUUUGAUGAGCUGGAUUCGAUUGCC
This 884-nucleotide small RNA is filed under the name Pan troglodytes (chimpanzee). RNAcentral's name for it is "retained intron". Lineage: Eukaryota; Metazoa; Chordata; Mammalia; Primates; Hominidae. The record is from RNAcentral.